Rhagoletis zephyria (snowberry fruit fly) is the source of this 329-nucleotide long non-coding RNA. RefSeq lists it as uncharacterized. The record is from RefSeq and is a predicted model, not a curated record. Lineage: Eukaryota; Metazoa; Arthropoda; Insecta; Diptera; Tephritidae.
GAGCCGUACUGCAUAUAACGUAUAAAACGUAUAUAACUUACUAGUUACAAUAGCGAAAGUCAUAUUUUGUAUUGUAAUAAUACAAUUAGUUCGCUUUACUUGUCCGGGUGCAGAAAAAGCGGUCGCAAUGAACAUAUAUUCUACACUUUGGGAAACUUAAGUAGUUUUACUAAUUACACCAUUUAUGUGAAAGCGUAUACUGUGGAUCAUUCACUAACUAGCAAUUGUGUGCCCAUACAAACUUUAAUCGGCGUUCCUUCGCGUCCAUCUCAUACAAAAUUCGAUGAUUCGAAGGAUAUCACAAUUCAUUGGCGACAACCUGAAGUGCC